This is an RNA transcript of Silurus meridionalis, 3469 nucleotides long. It is a transcript of the gene named coiled-coil domain containing 85A, with no coding region annotated. The record is from RefSeq and is a predicted model, not a curated record. Lineage: Eukaryota; Metazoa; Chordata; Actinopteri; Siluriformes; Siluridae. The transcript has 4 exons.
AAGAGAGAGAGAGAGAGAGAGAGACUGGGCUGUGCACCGGUUUGCUGGCCUGCGCUACGGAUGUGUGAUGCUGUAGUGGUCAGUGUCGGUCCUCCAUGGCGGGUUUUGCUCUCAUACUGAGCACUGAAAUGGAGACAUGACGGGAGGAACAAGAGGUGAGGAUCAAGAUCUCUUGUUUAAAUACGGGCUUUAGCCAGCCUGAGGAGGAGCAGAAGGAAGACAAGUUCUUCCCGGUACUCUCAGGUUGCAGCUGCAGGUUUAUACGGACCGCAUGCACCGCACUGGGAGUCUCACUAUGAGAGUCUCCUGAUUCGGAUCCAAGCACAUUUCCUGCAGAAGCGUCUGCGCUGGGCGUCUUGCGUCUUGUUUGCACAGUUCGGCGGCAGCGGGGCGCUUUCUGUGCGCCACUGAGUUGGUGAAGGUGAUGGAGAAGCCGGCCCAAGCACAGCUGCAGUCAGGUGCAGCCAAGAGCGCGGAAAGCUGCACCGAGGAUUUGUCCAAAGUCACGGACCAGGAGCUCCUGAAGUGGAGUAAAGAUGAGCUGGUGCGGCGGCUGCGUAAAGCCGAGGCCGAGAAGAUGAGCGCCAUAGUGGAACACGGAAACCUGAUCCGAGAGGUGAACCGCAGGCUCCAGCAGCACCUGAAUGAGAUCCGGGGACUGAAGGAGGUAAAUCAGAAACUCCAAGAGGAUAACCAGGAGUUGCGUGACCUUUGCUGCUUUUUGGACGAUGACCGGCAGAAGGGAAAAAAGGUGUCAAGGGAGUGGCAGCGCCUCGGCCGCUACAGUGCAGGCAUUAUGCGUAAGGAGGUGACCCUGUACCUGCAGAAGCUGAAGGAGCUUGAACAGAGGCAGGAGGAGGUGCUGAAAGAAAACCUGGAGCUGAGGGAGCUGUGUCUCAUGCUGGAUGAGGAAAAGGGCUCUGGAGGCACAGGAGGCUCACUGAGCACUGGAGGUCCAGCAGGCUGCAGGAACUCUAUAGAUAGCCAGAGCAGCCUAUCACAUGCCAGCGGGCCUGGGCCAGGACUGCUGAGGGACGUUGGGGAUGGGAGUAGUACUUCAAGUGCAGGCAGCACCGACAGCCCUGAUCAUCUAACACACAAGCAGCAGCUGCUGGCUGGUCCAGCUGGAGGCAGUCUUGAGCAUGUCCACAAGCCCCGGCUGUUGGAGGAGAUGCCAGUUCCAGAGCAACUGAGCCGCAGAAGGAGCACAAGUCCAGAGUAUGCUGCCCACACCUUUCCUCAAGUGUGCCGGCCUCGCUGUGGUUCUUUCUCUAGUCCUGACCAUAAGGGCAUGCGAGGUCUCAGCCCAGAAAAGCUAGGGAAGCGAGGCAAUCCAGAGCAGUUUUCUAGGCACUUGCCAGUGUCUUCUCAGCCUCCUGGUAGCCCUGACCUCUUUCAGAAGCACAGGGCAAGCAUUGGAAGUCUAUGUGGCAGUCCAGAACCCAAACAGAUACUAUCAGGGACUCCUGAACAUCUGCAGAAGGGUCGUUUGAUUACAGGAAGCCCUGAGAUGUUAAGGCACCAGUACAGUGGCAGUCCAGAUCAUGGCAAGUUUGGCAGCCCUGGGCGAGAUGUGGCACAAAGGAGGUCAGCAGCAGAGGAGCUAUCUCCACAUCAAAGGAGCAUCUACAGUGGUAUGAAUGGUGGGUCUGACUGGAGCCUGCUCUAGCAGCCACACAUGGAGGCCCGUUUCAAUAUAUUACAUGGUCACCAUGAAGGGAAUCGGUUUCAAAAUAUAAUGCCCUAUAGCCAGGCGCUAAGUCAACUUAUACAUUAUGCAAUGGUGUGCAUUUAGUUUUUGCAUUUAGUUUUUGCUCACUCAGCUCAAAUGGGGGCCUUGAAGAGGUAGAGCAGGGCUGGUAAAGGUCGGUGGUGUCCAGUCGUGGUUCUCAAAGGGCCAUGAUUUGAACAGGCUUUAGCUGCUACCUGUGCUAUUAUUUUUUGGAAGUCUUUUUAUGCACUGGAGCUCAACAGAGGGAACUGUAAGCAAUUGCACACCAUAAAGUACAGAGGCACAACACAAACCUGAGGACAAUACAACCCAGCAGGACCAGGAGUGGACACCACUGUUUUUGCCAUAUGUUUCCAGCUCUGCUCUCUGCUGGCUGCUGCACCACCUCCUGUAGAAGUGUCAAGCUUUGGGACAGCUUUGAUGCCUCCUGACCGUUGCCUUGACUGGAUCUGAUGCUGAGUUCCUGGCUUUGUAGGAGCCCAGAUCUCUGCUGUCUUUUGCACUGGAAAAGAGAGUGCACAAUAUUGUGCAGCAGCCAGUGUCUUGUAUCUUUUCCACCUCAUGCUGGUUUCAGGUGUCCUGUUUCCCCUGUUAGAGCUUUGCACAACAACACCAACAACAACAACUAAAGAAAAAAAUAUGGGAAUGGGGUUUCAUUAGGAGAGGGAAUGCUAGAACCCCUAAACAAGAAUUCUGUCAUGGGAGAUGAAAGAUGCUCUCUAUGUUGCCAACAAUAAAGACCUACCUCCUUGUAAUGAAAGCAGUUGAAAAUGAGAAUAAUCGUGUAAAAUGGGAUUCAGAGGCUAACACUUUUCCUGUUUACAGAUACCAUAUACAAUGUCAUAUGAACAGUAUAGAAGUAUUUCUAAUUGGAUCCAUUGGUAGAUAAAAUUGGAUUUCUUAUGUAACAGAAAAUGUAUACGAAAAAAGAAAAGAAAAGUGUUAUCAUAGCAAUCACUGCCUUGCUUCUGUUAAGAGCUUUGUGGCAACCAUAAGUUCAUUAUUACAACAAUGUAAGUCACAUUAUUGAGAGUGGAGAUGGAAGAAACAAAGCAUUGCUCUUAUCUGUCAUCAACCAGUGACUGCUGAUGAACUAUGUGGUAGAUGUAGUGGGGAAUAAAAUACAAUGCUUUAUUGAAAGCACACAAACGACCUUAAAAUGCUCCCUCCCUCCUCAGUCAAUAUAAAUGGAUCAUUCCAAAGUGGCAAAUAUGUCAGACAUAGCAAACAUUCUCAAAUUAAAACAAAAAACAAACAAAUAAACAAAAAACAACAAAAAAAGUACCAUCUAAGUAACUAAGUACCAUCAUGCCUUGCUUCUGCCCAGGUGUUUCUGUGAACUUAUGCUCUGAUAGACAAUAGAACAAUUACACACACAUAAACACACAUAUGAACACCCACAAAUCAUAUGCACAUUAUAUUUUAUAUUUGAAUAAUGCUUCAGUGUGGGAGAACUGGACAGCACACAGUUGUAUACUUGCGUAAGUGAUUUUUGGUAGCCCUUUAUUUAUUAGGCCUAGAUCACAAGUCCUGUGUGCCAACCGUUGAUCCUUCAGUAUAAAUCAGUAUUACAUACCAUACAAGCUACUUUGUAACCUCUUUGACCUGUGAUCUUUUUUAUUUUUGUUGACAAAUUAUAUGAAACAGAACCAAUAUUAAUAUAUAAAAACUUUUAUGUUUUUAAAAAAGUAAAGAGUAGUUUAUCUGCUUAGUUUUUUAAAUAUGAUGAUUAUUAUU